Molecule: ribosomal RNA, 253 nt
Filed under: uncultured bacterium
Lineage: Bacteria
Description: partial 16S ribosomal RNA
Rfam family: Bacterial small subunit ribosomal RNA
Source: RNAcentral
UACAGAGGGUGCAAGCGUUGUUCGGAAUUAUUGGGCGUAAAGGGCUCGUAGGUGGCCAACUAAGUCAGACGUGAAAUCCCUCGGCUUAACCGGGGAACUGCGUCUGAUACUGGAUGGCUUGAGUUUGGGAGAGGGACGCGGAAUUCCCGGUGUAGUGGUGAAAUGCGUAGAUAUCGGGAGGAACACCAGUGGCGAAGGCGGCUUUCUGGCCUGCUCUUGACGCUGAGGCGCGAAAGCUAGGGUAGCAAACGGG